CCUACGGGCGGCAGCAGUGAGGAAUAUUGGUCAAUGGACGGAAGUCUGAACCAGCCAAGUAGCGUGAAGGAUGACUGCCCUAUGGGUUGUAAACUUCUUUUAUAUGGGAAUAAAAUGUUCCACGUGUGGGAUUUUGUAUAUACCAUAUGAAUAAGGCUCGGCUAACUCCGUGCCAACAGCCGCGGUAAUACGGAGGAUCCGAGCGUUAUCCGGAUUUAUUUGGUUUAAAGGGAGCGUAGGUGGAUUGUUAAGUCAGUUGUGAAAGUGUGCGGCUCAACCGUAACAUUGCAGUUGAAACUGGCAGUCUUGAGUACAGUAGAGGUGGGUGGAAUUCGUGGUGUAGCGGUGAAAUGCUUAGAUAUCACGAAGAACUCCGAUUGCGAAGGCAGUUCACUGGACUGCAACUGACACUGAGGCUCGAAAGUGUGGGUAUCAAACAGGAUUAGAUACCCCAGUAGUC
Molecule: ribosomal RNA, 460 nt
Filed under: uncultured bacterium
Lineage: Bacteria
Description: partial 16S ribosomal RNA
Rfam family: Bacterial small subunit ribosomal RNA
Source: RNAcentral